ACCUAAUAGAUACCCUGGUAGUCCACGCCCUAAACGAUGCGAACUGGAUGUUGGGUACAUUACGGUACUCAGUGUCGAAAGCUAAACGCGUUAAGUUCGCCGCCUGGGGAGUACGGUCGCAAGACUGAAACUCAAAGGAAUUGACGGGGGUCCCGCACAAGCGGUGGAGUAUGUGGUUUAAUUCGAUGCAACGCGAAGAACCUUACCUGGCCUUGACAUCUGUCGAAUCCUGCAGAGAUGCGGGAGUGCCGCAAGGAACGACAAGACAGGUGCUGCAUGGCUGUCGUCAGCUCGUGUCGUGAGAUGUUGGGUU
This 313-nucleotide ribosomal RNA is filed under the name uncultured bacterium. RNAcentral describes it as "bacterial SSU rRNA". It matches the Rfam family "Bacterial small subunit ribosomal RNA", at positions 771 to 1081 of the family's 1533-position model. The record is from RNAcentral.